GCGCCCGUAGCUCAACUGGAUAGAGCACCGGUCUUCGGAACCGGGGGUUGGGGGUUCGAGUCCCUUCGGGCGUA
RNAcentral lists this transfer RNA (74 nucleotides) under Candidatus Acetothermia bacterium. Its description in RNAcentral is "tRNA-Arg". It matches the Rfam family "tRNA". Rfam says of the family: Transfer RNA (tRNA) molecules are approximately 80 nucleotides in length. The record is from RNAcentral. RNAcentral also lists the same sequence under 2 other names. Lineage: Bacteria; Candidatus Bipolaricaulota.